Molecule: long non-coding RNA, 376 nt
Organism: Cynoglossus semilaevis (tongue sole)
Lineage: Eukaryota; Metazoa; Chordata; Actinopteri; Pleuronectiformes; Cynoglossidae
Exons: 2
Source: RefSeq, a predicted model, not a curated record
CCAGGUUGAAAUUAUAACUUUACUUUUACAUUUGAAAUGUCACCAAAUCCUGAUGAAUGUUGCUUUCUAUAUGUUUGAGAUGUGUUUUAUUGCCUAUUUCUAUGCCUAAAUGUUGUAUUCAGGUCAGGGUGUUAAGACCUGUACUGCCACUUUAAGAGAUCGCAGGUCUCGUCGUCAUCCGGGUGCUUCUCUCAGUUCGCGCCAGACUAGCUGAGAGGAGGAGCUUGAGACCUGUGUGCUGUGUGGAGGAGACUGCAUGUUACAGAGCCUUGUAUGUUUUUCUGUUGAUUUGUACAGAGACAAAUCCAUCGUCCUGCCUUCAUUAAAAGAACAACCAACAGCUGGUCGUGAUCCGAGUCCUUCCUUCAUUCGGCGC